Podarcis raffonei (Aeolian wall lizard) is the source of this 169-nucleotide long non-coding RNA. RefSeq lists it as uncharacterized. The transcript is spliced from 2 exons. Lineage: Eukaryota; Metazoa; Chordata; Lepidosauria; Squamata; Lacertidae. The record is from RefSeq and is a predicted model, not a curated record.
ACCAACCUUCCGAUCAGCAAGCCCAAGAGGCUCAGUGGUUUCCAGGUGUCUCACACUAUCUGAGGUAUACAGACAGACCAUCAGAAACUUCUCCAAGACACUACAGGGAACUUUAGAAGAUAAGUUCUCAAAAGGCCCACAUCUCAUCUGUAAAAAUCUCAUUUCUUCC